RNAcentral lists this ribosomal RNA (250 nucleotides) under uncultured bacterium. RNAcentral's name for it is "partial 16S ribosomal RNA". It matches the Rfam family "Bacterial small subunit ribosomal RNA", at positions 524 to 772 of the family's 1533-position model. The record is from RNAcentral.
CACGGGGGAUCCGAGCGUUAUCCGGAAUGACUGGGCGUAAAGAGUUGCGUAGGUGGUUUGGUAAGUCACUUCUUAAAUACCGAGGCUCAACCUCGGGAGUGGAAGUGAUACUGUCAAACUAGAGUAUGAGAGAGGUGGCUGGAAUUCCCGGUGUAGGAGUGAAAUCCGUAGAUAUCGGGAGGAACACCAAUGGCGUAGGCAGGCCACUGGCUCAUUACUGACACUAAGGCACGAAAGCGUGGGGAGCGAA